RNAcentral lists this long non-coding RNA (984 nucleotides) under Homo sapiens (human). RNAcentral describes it as "HSALNT0195341". The record is from RNAcentral. Lineage: Eukaryota; Metazoa; Chordata; Mammalia; Primates; Hominidae.
CCUGGGCACCUGGUGGGAUUGCAUUCACAGUUCCUCAAAGUGACCAAGUGAUUUGCAUUGAGCAUUGAAAGAUAUCCCCCUGGGGCACCGGCCUAGAACAGAGCAACAAAUAUUUACUAAUUCCAUUAACAGAAGAGAGUUGGAAUUUUUUUUUCCCAAGCGAAUAUCCGAGGCCCCAAGUUCAUGGUGAGCCCUCUCCCCCGCAUGGCCCCCUCUCCCCCCACCUCCUCCCUACACGCCCAGGACUUAUAUAUAGUUCACUCAGUGCCAUUUCCCCAAUUUUUUUCUGAAGUUCAAGACAAGUUGAAGGGUCAAAAAGGCAAAGGGUGUUUUAGAAGUUUAGCAGACAGCUUUUGGUACAAGGAAAAGAGAGGGAGAGCUGGAGAGAGGGAAACAGGGUGAAGAGGCAGGAAUCUGGCUCGCAUUAAGCUGGGAGGUUCCAACCAUUGAUUCGCUCUGGAAUUAUGGCUUAAAAAAAUUGCAAGACAUGGUUUAUUCAUGAGGGUUCUUUUUUUUUCUUAAGUAGCCACCCAAAGUUACACUUUGGUUCACCAAGACGAAGACUCAUCCUUCCUCUCUCUAUGGAUCUUUCAGAUGAAGAAAUUAAGGCUCAGGAGGGAGGAAAAAAAUAAAAGAAAGAAUUGUCCAAGGUCACCAAGGCAUCUGGACUCCCAUAUGUUGAGCUACUUCUGCUUGUGGGGCAGCUGCAAUACAUGAAUUCUUCACUACGUUCACGAGUGCCCUGAAUUCCAUCCACAGAGCUAUUGGAUGUUUGGAGCCCAGGUGAAGAUCCCAGAGCUGGGGAACGAAAGGUUGGAAAAGCCCAGCCAGCUGUGCAAGCCUCCAGAGACACUCUCUUGACUGCGAGGAAAGUGAUAGCCUGCUGGGCUGGACCUGGACUUUGAGACAGAACUUUCGAAUCCGAAGAAGAGAUGAUUUUCAGAUAGUCCUCCUUCCAGGUCAGGUUUAAGAAAAAUAGUGAAG